RNAcentral lists this long non-coding RNA (532 nucleotides) under Bos taurus (domestic cattle). RNAcentral describes it as "long non-coding RNA NONBTAT000019". The record is from RNAcentral. Lineage: Eukaryota; Metazoa; Chordata; Mammalia; Artiodactyla; Bovidae.
UGGGGGGUGUUAGGAAAACUACUACAGAAUAAAGGGUAGCAUACUGCUUUCAGAGGUGAAUGCUAGACAGGAUAGGAGGCUUAUUUGUGAGCUAAGUUUUGAGACUAACCCCUUACUGAGAGGGCUUUGAAUCUGUGUGCCAGCUACUUUAUAAAUGAAUACAUGCCAGGAAACUGCUAGGUUAGUCUCAAACAGAAAUCAGGAAUGCAAAAAGUCCCCCAACACCCGUACAACAUUUGCAGACAAGAGGCAGUCCAGCGCUGUGGAGUUUGGGCUCUAGAGUAACUAUUCUGCAGUCACUUGCUGGCUCCUGUGACUUAACAGAGGGUAUUUUGGUUUUCAAGUCACAUUCAUCUAAAAAACGAGAAUUUGUAAAUAUUAAGUGAGUUUAUGCUUAUAAAAUGCUGUAAACGGACUUGAUAAGCGUUAGGUGUUAUUCUUACAGGUGUAUGAAUAUCCAGCUUCCAGAUCACAUCACCAACAUGGUCACAAUAACAACCCAUUCUUCUUUCUAAAGAUAAAACAAUUCCCU